RNAcentral lists this ribosomal RNA (454 nucleotides) under uncultured bacterium. RNAcentral's name for it is "bacterial SSU rRNA". It matches the Rfam family "Bacterial small subunit ribosomal RNA", at positions 54 to 514 of the family's 1533-position model. The record is from RNAcentral.
CAUGCAGUCGACGAGAGAGGGUUUUGGCCUGAGUAGCGUGGCGGACGGGUGAGUAAUGCGUGGGAACCGACCUCGUCGUGGGGGAUAACCCGGGGAAACUCGGGCUAAUACCGCACACGACCUACGGGUGAAAGGGGGCGUUAGCUCCUGUGGUGAGACGGGCUCACGUCCGAUUAGCUAGUUGGUGGGGUAAGGGCCUACCAAGGCGACGAUCGGUAGCUGGUCUGAGAGGAUGAUCAGCCACACUGGGACUGAGACACGGCCCAGACUCCUACGGGAGGCAGCAGUGGGGAAUAUUGGACAAUGGGCGCAAGCCUGAUCCAGCAAUGCCGCGUGGGUGAAGAAGGCCUGCGGGUUGUAAAGCCCUUUCGGUGGGGAAGAAAGGUCCAAGGUGAAGAAUUUUGGGCUGUGACGUUACCCACAGAAGAAGCACCGGCUAACUCCGUGCCAGCAG